Molecule: unclassified non-coding RNA, 253 nt
Filed under: uncultured Planctomycetales bacterium
Lineage: Bacteria; Pseudomonadati; Planctomycetota; Planctomycetia; Planctomycetales
Description: contains 16S-23S intergenic spacer region
Rfam family: Bacterial small subunit ribosomal RNA
Source: RNAcentral
UACGUACUGUGCGAACGUUAUUCGGAAUCACUGGGCUUAAAGGGUGCGCAGGCGGCUGAUUAAGUAGGAUGUGAAAUGUUCCGGCUCAACCGGGACGCUGCGUUCUAAACUGGUCAGCUCGAGUGAGAUAGGGGUGUGCGGAACUUCCAGUGGAGCGGUGAAAUGUGUUGAGAUUGGAAGGAACACCGGUGGCGAAAGCGGCACACUGGGUCUCUACUGACGCUGAGGCACGAAAGCCAGGGGAGCGAACGGG